CCUGCCCCUAGAGGCAUUCCAAGUGUGACUGCUGUGUCACCCAUGCAUUAGUAGUCACAGAGAGGAGAGAGCCUAUGUCUACACUCAGUGUUCUGACCUAUGAACAUCUGAAUUAUUAGCAGCCUAUCAUU
This is a small nucleolar RNA of Apodemus sylvaticus (European woodmouse), 131 nucleotides long. RefSeq annotates it as small nucleolar RNA SNORA17. The transcript has a single exon. The record is from RefSeq and is a predicted model, not a curated record. Lineage: Eukaryota; Metazoa; Chordata; Mammalia; Rodentia; Muridae.